GAUGAACGCUGGCGGCGUGCUUAACACAUGCAAGUCGAACGGGAAACCUUUUAUUGAAGCUUCGGCAGAUUUAGCUGGUUUCUAGUGGCGGACGGGUGAGUAACGCGUGGGUAACCUGCCUUAUACAGGGGGAUAACAGUCAGAAAUGGCUGCUAAUACCGCAUAAGCGCACAGAGCUGCAUGGCUCAGUGUGAAAAACUCCGGUGGUAUAAGAUGGACCCGCGUUGGAUUAGCUGGUUGGUGGGGUAACGGCCCACCAAGGCGACGAUCCAUAGCCGGCCUGAGAGGGUGAACGGCCACAUUGGGACUGAGACACAGCCCAGACUCCUACGGGAGGCAGCAGUGGGGAAUAGUGCAAAAUGGGGGGAGCCCUGAUGCAGCGACGCCGGGUGAAGGAAGAAAUAUGUCGAUAAGAAAACUGCUAUCAGCAAGGAAGGUAAUGACGGUACCUGACGAAGAAGCCCCGGCUAACUACGUG
RNAcentral lists this ribosomal RNA (478 nucleotides) under uncultured bacterium. RNAcentral's name for it is "partial 16S ribosomal RNA". It matches the Rfam family "Bacterial small subunit ribosomal RNA", at positions 28 to 507 of the family's 1533-position model. The record is from RNAcentral.